This 944-nucleotide long non-coding RNA is filed under the name Salmo salar (Atlantic salmon). RNAcentral describes it as "lncRNA (ENSSSAG00000115328.1)". Lineage: Eukaryota; Metazoa; Chordata; Actinopteri; Salmoniformes; Salmonidae. The record is from RNAcentral.
GUAGUGGUAUGGGUAGUAAUGGUAAUGAUAACAGUUUAGUGAUGGUGGUGGUAGUAGUAGUGGUAUGGGUAGUAAUGGUAAUGAUAACAGUUUAGUGAUGGUGGUGGUAGUAGUAGUGGUAUGGGUAGUAAUGGUAAUGAUAACAGUUUAGUGAUGGUGGUGGUAGUAGUAGUGGUAUGGGUGGUAAUGGUAAUGAUAACAGUUUAGUGAUGGUGGUGGUAGUAGUAGUGGUAUGGGUGGUAAUGGUAAUGAUAACAGUUUAGUGAUGGUGGUGGUAGUAGUAGUGUUAUGGUAAUGGUAAUGAUAGCAGUUUAGUGAUGAUGGUGGUAGUAGUAGUGGUAUGGGUGGUAAUGGUAAUGAUAACAGUUUAGUGAUGGUGGUAGUAGUAGUAGUGGUAUGGGUAGUAAUGGUAAUGAUAGCAGUUUAGUGAUGGUGAUGGUAGUAGUAGUGGUAUGGGUGGUAAUGGUAAUGAUAACAGUUUAGUGAUGGUGGUGGUAGUAGUAGUGGUAUGGGUGGUAAUGGUAAUGAUAACAGUUUAGUGAUGGUGGUGGUAGUAGUAGUGGUAUGGGUAGUAAUGGUAAUGAUAACAGUUUAGUGAUGGUGGUGGUAGUAUGGGUGGUAAUGGUAAUGAUAACAGUUUAGUGAUGGUGGUGGUAGUAGUAGUGGUAUGGGUAGUAAUGGUAAUGAUAACAGUUUAGUGAUGGUGGUGGUAGUAUGGGUGGUAAUGGUAAUGAUAACAGUUUAGUGAUGGUGGUGGUAGUAGUAGUGGUAUGGGUAGUAAUGGUAAUGAUAACAGUUUAGUGAUGGUGGUGGUAGUAGUAGUAGUAUGGGUGGUAAUGGUAAUGAUAACAGUUUAGUGAUGGUGGUGGUAGUAGUAGUGGUAUGGGUAGUAAUGGUAAUGAUAACAGUUUAGUGAUGGUGAUGGUAGUAGUAGUGGUAUGGGU